Molecule: small nucleolar RNA, 130 nt
Organism: Heterocephalus glaber (naked mole-rat)
Lineage: Eukaryota; Metazoa; Chordata; Mammalia; Rodentia; Bathyergidae
Gene: SNORA70
Rfam family: Small nucleolar RNA SNORA70
About the family: snoRNA U70 seems to be exclusive to mammals and is a member of the H/ACA class of snoRNA which contain H (ANANNA) and ACA box motifs.
Source: Ensembl
CUGCAGUCAAUUAAACUGUGUUCCUUUGCUGUUGGGUGCCCAGUGUUCAGUGGCUGCAAACAGCACUUCCUCCAUAAUGUACACAGGCUGUUGCUUAUAUGGGCUGCCUUAAGGGACCUUGGAGACUAUG